UACCUCCCAGGAUCAUGUCUAGAAAGUAGCUAAUGUUCUGACAGCUUUGGUUAUAGGAGGGAAAGUAAGCCUGGGAGAAGUACCCAUUCCAUUCCCCACAUUCCCCAUAGCUGGUGAUUGGAAGACACUCUGCAAUAAUG
Molecule: small nucleolar RNA, 140 nt
Organism: Eptesicus fuscus (big brown bat)
Lineage: Eukaryota; Metazoa; Chordata; Mammalia; Chiroptera; Vespertilionidae
Source: RefSeq, a predicted model, not a curated record